UACAGAGGUGCCGAGCGUUAGGCGGAAUCACUGGGCGUAAAGGGCGCGUAGGCGGCCUGAUAAGUCGGGGGUGAAAUCCUGUGGCUCAACCACAGGGCUGCCUCCGAGACUGUCGGGCUCGAGCACAGUAGAGGCAGGUGGAAUUCCCGGUGUAGCGGUGGAAUGCGUAGAGAUCGGGAAGAACAUCGGUGGCGAAGGCGGCCUGCUGGGCUGUUGUUGACGCUGAGGCGCGACAGCGUGGGGAGCAAACAGG
This 253-nucleotide ribosomal RNA is filed under the name uncultured bacterium. RNAcentral's name for it is "partial 16S ribosomal RNA". It matches the Rfam family "Bacterial small subunit ribosomal RNA", at positions 524 to 776 of the family's 1533-position model. The record is from RNAcentral.